Molecule: ribosomal RNA, 478 nt
Filed under: uncultured bacterium
Lineage: Bacteria
Description: partial 16S ribosomal RNA
Rfam family: Bacterial small subunit ribosomal RNA
Source: RNAcentral
GACGAACGCUGGCGGCGUGCUUAACACAUGCAAGUCGAACGGUAAGGCCCUUCGGGGUACACGAGUGGCGAACGGGUGAGUAACACGUGGGUGAUCUGCCCUGCACUUCGGGAUAAGCCUGGGAAACUGGGUCUAAUACCGGAUAGGACCCUGGGAUGCAUGUCCUGGGGUGGAAAGCUUUUGCGGUGUGGGAUGGGCCCGCGGCCUAUCAGCUUGUUGGGGGGGUGAUGGCCUACCAAGGCGACGACGGGUAGCCUGCCGGUGAGGGUGACCGGCCACACUGGGACUGAGAUACGGCCCAGACUCCUACGGGGGGCAGCAGUGGGGAAUAUUGCACCAUGGGCGCAAGCCUGCUGCAGCGACGCCGCGUGAGGGAUGACGGCCUUCGGGUUGUAACCCUCUUUCAGCACCGACGAAGCGCAAGUGACGGUAGGUGCAGAAGAAGGACCGGCCAACUACGUGCCAGCAGCCGCGGUAA